Molecule: long non-coding RNA, 618 nt
Filed under: Salmo salar (Atlantic salmon)
Lineage: Eukaryota; Metazoa; Chordata; Actinopteri; Salmoniformes; Salmonidae
Description: lncRNA (ENSSSAG00000110131.1)
Source: RNAcentral
GUUAGUCGGACAACGCACGUCCACAAGGGGCGAGUUAGUCGGACAACGCACGUCCACAAGGGGCGAGUUAGUCGGACAACGCACGUCCACAAGGGGCGAGUUAGUCGGACAACGCACGUCCACAAGGGGCAAGUUAGUCGGACAACGCACGUCCACAAGGGGCGAGUUAGUCGGACAACGCACGUCCACAAGGGGUGAGUUAGUCGGACAACGCUACAACAUACGUCUUCAGGGGGUGAGUUAGUCGGACAACGCUACAACAUACGUCUUCAGGGGGUGAGUUAGUCGGACAACGCUACAACAUACGUCUACAAGGGGUGAGUUAGUCGGACAACGCACGUCCACAAGGGGUGAGUUAGUCGGCCAAUGCUACAACAUACGUCCACAAGGGGUGAGUUAGUCAGACAACGCUACAACAUACGUCCACAAGGGGCGAAUUAGUCGGACAACGCUACAACAUACGUCUUCAGGGGGUGAGUUAGUCGGACAACGAUACAACAUACGUCCACAAGGGGUGAGUUAGUCGGACAACGCAGGUCCACAAGGGGUGAGUUAGUCGGACAAUGCUACAACAUACGUCCACAAGGGGUGAGUUAGUCGGAGAACGCUACAACAUAC